This 442-nucleotide ribosomal RNA is filed under the name Bacillus swezeyi. RNAcentral describes it as "bacterial SSU rRNA". It matches the Rfam family "Bacterial small subunit ribosomal RNA", at positions 1 to 433 of the family's 1533-position model. Lineage: Bacteria; Bacillati; Bacillota; Bacilli; Caryophanales; Bacillaceae. The record is from RNAcentral.
UUCAUGGAGAGUUUGAUCCUGGCUCAGGACGAACGCUGGCGGCGUGCCUAAUACAUGCAAGUCGAGCGGACCGACGGGAGCUUGCUCCCUUAGGUCAGCGGCGGACGGGUGAGUAACACGUGGGUAACCUGCCUGUAAGACUGGGAUAACUCCGGGAAACCGGGGCUAAUACCGGAUGCUUGAUUGAACCGCAUGGUUCAAUCAUGAAAGGCGGCUUCGGCUGCCGUUUACAGAUGGACCCGCGGCGCAUUAGCUAGUUGGUGAGGUAACGGCUCACCAAGGCGACGAUGCGUAGCCGACCUGAGAGGGUGAUCGGCCACACUGGGACUGAGACACGGCCCAGACUCCUACGGGAGGCAGCAGUAGGGAAUCUUCCGCAAUGGACGAAAGUCUGACGGAGCAACGCCGCGUGAGUGAUGAAGGUUUUCGGAUCGUAAAGCUC